Non-coding RNA from Bos taurus (domestic cattle), 72 nucleotides. Lineage: Eukaryota; Metazoa; Chordata; Mammalia; Artiodactyla; Bovidae. The record is from Rfam.
UCCCUUGUGGCUCAGCUUGUAAAGAAUCUGUCUGCAAUGUAGGAGACCUGGGUUCGAUCCCUGGCUUGGGAA